RNAcentral lists this ribosomal RNA (602 nucleotides) under Sporobolomyces blumeae. Its description in RNAcentral is "eukaryotic LSU rRNA". It matches the Rfam family "Eukaryotic large subunit ribosomal RNA", at positions 47 to 663 of the family's 3401-position model. Lineage: Eukaryota; Fungi; Basidiomycota; Microbotryomycetes; Sporidiobolales; Sporidiobolaceae. The record is from RNAcentral.
UAAGCGGAGGAAAAGAAACUAACAAGGAUUCCCCUAGUAGCGGCGAGCGAAGCGGGAAAAGCUCAAAUUUGUAAUCUGGCGCCUUCGGCGUCCGAGUUGUAAUCUCGAGAAAUGUUUUCCGUGUUAGACCGCAUACAAGUCUCUUGGAACAGAGCGUCAUAGUGGUGAGAACCCAGUACACGAUGCGGAUGCCUAAUACUUUGUGAUACAUUUUCGAAGAGUCGAGUUGUUUGGGAAUGCAGCUCAAAUUGGGUGGUAAAUUCCAUCUAAAGCUAAAUAUUGGCGAGAGACCGAUAGCGAACAAGUACCGUGAGGGAAAGAUGAAAAGCACUUUGGAAAGAGAGUUAACAGUACGUGAAAUUGUUGGAAGGGAAACACAUGCAGUCAGACUUGCUAUUCGGGGCAACUCGAUUGGCAGGCCCGCAUCAGUUUUUCGGGGCGGAAAAGCAUAGAGAGAAGGUAGCAGUUUCGGCUGUGUUAUAGCUCUUUAUUGGAUUCGCCCUGGGGGACUGAGGAACGCAGCGUGCUUUUAGCAUGAGCUUCGGCUUAUCCACGCUUAGGAUGCGGGUGUAAUGGCUGUAUAUGACCCGUCUUGAAACACG